GUCUUUUUGAAUUUUAUUUAAAGUCUGACCUGCCCUCUGAGGAGUUUAAAGGCUGCAGUAUCCUGACUGUACAAAGGUAGCAUAAUCACUAGUCUUUUAAUUGGAGACUUGUAUGAAUGGUUUGACGAAGAAGCAACUGUCUCAAUUUAAUUUUUGUAGAAAUUUAUUUUUUAGUUAAAAAGCUAAAAUGAUUUUAAAAGACGAGAAGACCCUAUAGAGUUUAACAUAUUUUUUUUUAUUAGAAUUUAUUAGGAUAUUUUGAUUCAGUAAAAUAAAUUUGUUUUGUUGGGGCGAUGGAAAAAUUUAAUUAACUUUUUUUUAUUUAAACAAUAAUGUUUGACUAUAUGAUCCGCUUAGGCGAUUAAAAGAUUAAAUUACCUUAGGGAUAACAGCGUAAUUUUUCUUGAGAGUUCCUAUUAAAAGAAAAGUUUGCGACCUCGAUGUUGGAUUAAAAUUAAUAAUUGGUGUAGAAGCUGAUUUAUUAGGUCUGUUCGACCUUUAAAAUUUUACGUGAUCUGAGUCAAGACCGGA
RNAcentral lists this ribosomal RNA (531 nucleotides) under Saprinus chalcites. Its description in RNAcentral is "partial 16S ribosomal RNA". It matches the Rfam family "Bacterial large subunit ribosomal RNA", at positions 1819 to 2620 of the family's 2925-position model. Lineage: Eukaryota; Metazoa; Arthropoda; Insecta; Coleoptera; Histeridae. The record is from RNAcentral.